Molecule: transfer RNA, 66 nt
Filed under: Junonia coenia (buckeye)
Lineage: Eukaryota; Metazoa; Arthropoda; Insecta; Lepidoptera; Nymphalidae
Also listed under: 6 other names
Description: tRNA-Phe
Source: RNAcentral
AUUUAAAUAGCUUAAGUUUAGAGUAUAAUAUUGAAGAUAUUAGGGUGAUUAAUUAAUCUUUAGAUA